GCUGAGGAGGGGUCGGUACCGGUCCCCGUGACGACAGCAGGCGCCCCCUGUGGCUGCACGAGCGGUCGCAGUACUCCGAAGCUGCUGAGGAAGAACAGCAUCCGGAGGCCCCUGGGACUCGAUGGGCCCUCAGCGGCUCCUCCCCACGGCUCCCCCAGCCUCCUCCACCGGGUCCUGGCCAAGUCCAGGAGGAAGAGCUGCCCCCUCCUGCCCCACGCUCCUCUGGACACCGGCUCCGACAACAGCGCCUUCCAGGCGGACUAGACUGCAACCAGGCCGCCCCCCCACAAACCAGGACAUUUAGGAUCUGAUUCAUGUGUGUAAUCGUUUACUGACCUGAAGAUCAUUUAAAACCAGGUUCCAGAGGAGGUCUGACCUCCGUCAGGUCCGAGUCCCGACGGGCUCGUCUGUUUUUAAAAAUGUGUUUAACUUUAAAAUCUAUAUUUUUCUUUUUUACCAACUGUAACAGAAUAAACGAGGUCCCGUUCA
This is a long non-coding RNA of Micropterus salmoides (largemouth bass), 489 nucleotides long. RefSeq lists it as uncharacterized. NCBI's taxonomy places the organism in Eukaryota, Metazoa, Chordata, Actinopteri, Centrarchiformes, Centrarchidae. The record is from RefSeq and is a predicted model, not a curated record. The transcript is spliced from 2 exons.